ACCUUUUUAAAAAAAAAAUUAAACUAUUUAAUUAGGAAAAACUGUUGCAAAUCAUAUAUGAACAUUAAUCACUAGAAAAGGAAAAAAUUUGAAGUGCCAGUCUGAAAUACCAGGGAUCAGCAUGAAACUUAGAUAAUAAAAAAAAAAAGUCAUGAUAAAUUCAAGACGCAAUCAACUACCCUAUUUAACAGGAAAAUCUCCGUUUUUACUAACCGAAGUAAUUUAGCACAAGUGCAAUUUUAAGCCUAUCCACUGAAAAAUGAAGAGUGAAGCAAUUCCAAGGAAGUUAGAAUAGAUCUUACCCAGUGAGAUCGGGAGAGACCCUUCCUGUUGAGUUAGUGCAGUUCAGUGGCAGAAUCGAUAGGGAUAUUCUCCGUCGCAUGCAGAAGAAGUGGAAAAAUGUGAUGAUAGAAAGAGAAAUAGACAGAGAUUGGGAAAGCAGUCAAUGUUGACGGUGAGGAACGUAAUAAUGGUGACGGCCGCGGCUAUCGGAGAAGGGAAUUUUAUGUAGCGUAGCAGUUGUGGAGGGUUAAAAUGGAUAUGGCGGUGCCUGCGGAUAGCCGUUGAGUGGCCGUUGGCCGUGUAGGGCGGGUUUAGAGGGAGCGGGGCU
Molecule: unclassified non-coding RNA, 610 nt
Filed under: Hevea brasiliensis (rubber tree)
Lineage: Eukaryota; Viridiplantae; Streptophyta; Magnoliopsida; Malpighiales; Euphorbiaceae
Source: RNAcentral